RNAcentral lists this ribosomal RNA (253 nucleotides) under uncultured bacterium. RNAcentral's name for it is "partial 16S ribosomal RNA". It matches the Rfam family "Bacterial small subunit ribosomal RNA", at positions 524 to 776 of the family's 1533-position model. The record is from RNAcentral.
UACGGAGGGAGCAAGCGUUGUUCGGAAUCACUGGGCGUAAAGCGUGUGUAGGCGGCCAUGCAAGUCAGAGGUGAAAGCCCGGGGCUCAACCCCGGAACUGCAUUUGAAACUGCAUGGCUGGAGUAUCGGAGAGGGUGGCGGAAUUCCUAGUGUAGGGGUGAAAUCCGUAGAGACUAGGAGGAACACCGGUGGCGAAGGCGGCCACCUGGACGAUUACUGACGCUGAGGCACGAAAGCGUGGGGAGCAAACAGG